RNAcentral lists this ribosomal RNA (1209 nucleotides) under uncultured Petrimonas sp. RNAcentral's name for it is "bacterial SSU rRNA". It matches the Rfam family "Bacterial small subunit ribosomal RNA", at positions 239 to 1452 of the family's 1533-position model. Lineage: Bacteria; Pseudomonadati; Bacteroidota; Bacteroidia; Bacteroidales; Dysgonomonadaceae. The record is from RNAcentral.
CAUUAGCUAGUUGGUAAGGUAACGGCUUACCAAGGCAACGAUGCAUAGCCGAGUUGAGAGACUGAUCGGCCACAUUGGGACUGAGACACGGCCCAAACUCCUACGGGAGGCAGCAGUAGGGAAUCUUCCACAAUGGACGCAAGUCUGAUGGAGCAACGCCGCGUGAGUGAAGAAGGUUUUCGGAUCGUAAAGCUCUGUUGUUGGUGAAGAAAGAUAGUGAGAGUAACUGCUCAUUAUUUGCCGGUAAUCAAUCAGAAAGUCACGGCUAACUACGUGCCAGCAGCCGCGGUAAUACGGAGGAUCCGAGCGUUAUCCGGAUUUAUUGGGUUUAAAGGGUGCGCAGGCGGGAUGUUAAGUCGGCGGUGAAAUUUUGCAGCUCAACUGUAAAAGUGCCUUCGAUACUGGCUUUCUUGAGUGUGGAUGAAGUAGGCGGAAUUUGUGGUGUAGCGGUGAAAUGCAUAGAUAUCACGAGGAACUCCUAUUGCGCAGGCAGCUUACUAAACUACUACUGACGCUCAUGCACGAAGGCGUGGGGAUCAAACAGGAUUAGAUACCCUGGUAGUCCACGCAGUAAACGAUGAUUACUCGCUGUUUGCGAUACACUGUAAGCGGCCAAGCGAAAGCGUUAAGUAAUCCACCUGGGGAGUACGUUCGCAAGAAUGAAACUCAAAGGAAUUGACGGGGGCCCGCACAAGCGGAGGAACAUGUGGUUUAAUUCGAUGAUACGCGAGGAACCUUACCCGGGCUUGAAAUGCGGCGGACCGGCAGAGAGAUCUGCCUUCCCUUCGGGGCCGCCGUGUAGGUGCUGCAUGGUUGUCGUCAGCUCGUGCCGUGAGGUGUCGGCUUAAGUGCCAUAACGAGCGCAACCCUCAUCAUUAGUUACUAACAGGUCAUGCUGAGGACUCUAGUGAGACUGCCAUCGUAAGAUGCGAGGAAGGUGGGGAUGACGUCAAAUCAGCACGGCCCUUACGUCCGGGGCGACACACGUGUUACAAUGGGUGGUACAAAGGGCAGCUACCUGGCGACAGGAUGCUAAUCUCCAAAACCACUCUCAGUUCGGAUCGGAGUCUGCAACUCGACUCCGUGAAGCUGGAUUCGCUAGUAAUCGCGCAUCAGCCACGGCGCGGUGAAUACGUUCCCGGGCCUUGUACACACCGCCCGUCAAGCCAUGGAAGCCGGGGGUACCUGAAGUCCGUAACCGUCAAGGAG